RNAcentral lists this unclassified non-coding RNA (729 nucleotides) under uncultured Prochlorococcus sp. RNAcentral's name for it is "partial may contain 16S ribosomal RNA, 16S-23S ribosomal RNA intergenic spacer, and 23S ribosomal RNA". The stretch from base 335 to 407 matches the Rfam family "tRNA". The record is from RNAcentral. Lineage: Bacteria; Bacillati; Cyanobacteriota; Cyanophyceae; Synechococcales; Prochlorococcaceae.
AGGACGCCGAAGGUGGGGCUGAUGACUGGGGUGAAGUCGUAACAAGGUAGCCGUACCGGAAGGUGCGGCUGGAUCACCUCCUAACAGGGAGACAAUAAAUUGAUUGUGAUGUCUAAGUUUUUUAUUCUUAGGCCGCAAUCCUGUCACCUUAAGGUCGAUCGGUACCUCAGAUUUUUGAAUUAGUUUUAUAAUUGAUUCUUUGAUUUCAGUUCCUAAACUUGUCUAGGUCACACCCAACAAAGGUUUCUCCUGGGCCAUUAGCUCAGGUGGUUAGAGCGCACCCCUGAUAAGGGUGAGGUCCCUGGUUCAAGUCCAGGAUGGCCCAUUCGUUGUUGGGGGUAUAGCUCAGUUGGUAGAGCGCCUGCUUUGCAAGCAGGAUGUCAGCGGUUCGAGUCCGCUUACCUCCACUGAAAACUAUCCUGAUAACUAAAUUUCUGGAGAAAAAAAAUUGUAGAUGUGGCUUAGAAUUGUCUAUUUGAAAAGAACCUAGCUUCUUGUCAUCUUUUUAUAGUUGAUAAAAUGCUGGGCUCGCAUGGAUUAUUUCCAUGAGAAUUCAGUAGAACCUUGAAAACUGCAUAGAUUAGAAAGAAUAAAGCAUCUCAUGGAUGCAUAGUUCUGUGUUUUUAUAAUUUAGCCUUAAAACUAAAUUAUUUAAUUCCAGAAUUCAUGUUUAAUUCUUGAGUAAUAGCCGAGCACAAUUGAUUUUGUGAUUGUAUUUAAGGUCAAGCU